AGAGUUCGAUUCUGGCUCAGGACGAACGCUGGCGGCGUGCCUAACACAUGCAAGUCGAACGAAGCUCGAAGCUCUGAGAUUUCGGUCAAGGAGCCUAGAUGACUUAGUGGCGAACGGGUGAGUAAUGCGUGAGCAACCUGCCUUUCAGAGGGGGACAACAGUUGGAAACGACUGCUAAUACCGCAUAAUAUACUAUGCAGGCAUCUGCGUGGUAUCAAAGGAGCAAUCCGCUGAAAGAUGGGCUCACGUCUGAUUAGCUAGAUGGCAGGGUAACGGCCUACCAUGGCGACGAUCAGUAGCCGGUCUGAGAGGAUGAACGGCCACAUUGGGACUGAGAUACGGCCCAG
Molecule: ribosomal RNA, 347 nt
Filed under: uncultured bacterium
Lineage: Bacteria
Description: bacterial SSU rRNA
Rfam family: Bacterial small subunit ribosomal RNA
Source: RNAcentral